CAAAAUGUAGCUUAACCAAUAGCACCUCGCUUACACCAAGAAGAUAUUUGUUUGACCCAAAUCAUUUUGA
RNAcentral lists this transfer RNA (70 nucleotides) under Atlantihyla panchoi. Its description in RNAcentral is "tRNA-Val". It matches the Rfam family "tRNA". From Rfam's summary of the family: Transfer RNA (tRNA) molecules are approximately 80 nucleotides in length. Their secondary structure includes four short double-helical elements and three loops (D, anti-codon, and T loops). Further hydrogen bonds mediate the characteristic L-shaped molecular structure. tRNAs have two regions of fundamental functional importance: the anti-codon, which is responsible for specific mRNA codon recognition, and the 3' end, to which the tRNAs corresponding amino acid is attached (by aminoacyl-tRNA synthetases). tRNAs cope with the degeneracy of the genetic code in two manners: having more than one tRNA (with a specific anti-codon) for a particular amino acid; and 'wobble' base-pairing, i.e. permitting non-standard base-pairing at the 3rd anti-codon position. The record is from RNAcentral. Lineage: Eukaryota; Metazoa; Chordata; Amphibia; Anura; Hylidae.